UUUUGCGAUACUUGGUGUGAAUUGCAGAAUCCCGUGAACCAUCGAGUCUUUGAACGCAAGUUGCGCCCGAAGCCAUUAGGCUGAGGGCACGUCUGCCUGGGUGUCA
RNAcentral lists this ribosomal RNA (106 nucleotides) under Conioselinum acuminatum. RNAcentral's name for it is "Ligusticum acuminatum partial 5.8S ribosomal RNA". It matches the Rfam family "5.8S ribosomal RNA", at positions 51 to 154 of the family's 154-position model. From Rfam's summary of the family: 5.8S ribosomal RNA (5.8S rRNA) is a component of the large subunit of the eukaryotic ribosome. It is transcribed by RNA polymerase I as part of the 45S precursor that also contains 18S and 28S rRNA. The record is from RNAcentral. Lineage: Eukaryota; Viridiplantae; Streptophyta; Magnoliopsida; Apiales; Apiaceae.